UACGGAGGAUGCAAGCGUUAUCCGGAUUCACUGGGCGUAAAGGGUGCGUAGGUGGUCGGAUAAGUCUGAUGUGAAAUCUUCGAGCUUAACUCGGAAACUGCAUUGGAUACUAUUCGGCUGGAGGGUUGGAGGGGGGACUGGAAUUCUCGGUGUAGCAGUGAAAUGCGUAGAUAUCGAGAGGAACACCAGUGGCGAAGGCGAGUCCCUGGACAACUCCUGACACUGAGGCUCGAAAGCGUGGGGAGCAAACAGG
RNAcentral lists this ribosomal RNA (253 nucleotides) under uncultured bacterium. Its description in RNAcentral is "partial 16S ribosomal RNA". It matches the Rfam family "Bacterial small subunit ribosomal RNA", at positions 524 to 776 of the family's 1533-position model. The record is from RNAcentral.